CAGGCCUAACACAUGCAAGUCGAACGAAGGCUUCUGCCAUAGUCGGACACGGGUGAGUAACGCGUGGAAUCCUGCCCUGGGGUACGGAAUAUCACCGGGAAAGUGGUGCUAAUAUCAUGUGUGUCCCCCGGGACAAAGAUUUCUCGCCAUGGGAUGGCCCUGCGUACGAUGACCUUGUUGGUGGGGUAAGUGCCUAUCGAUGCAUAGAUACAUAACGGGUCUGAGAGGAUGAUCACCCACACUGGGACUGAAAGAUGGCCCAUAAUCCUGGGGGAGGCAGCAGGGGGGAAUGUUGGACUAGGGGCGCAAGCCUGAUCCUAGGACGCCGUGUGAGUGAUUAAUGCCUUCGUGUUGUAAAGCUCUUUCGCGUGCGACGAUGAUGACGGACUCGUGAUAAGAAGGACCGGCUAUCUUCGUGCCAGCAGGCCGGGUAAU
Molecule: ribosomal RNA, 435 nt
Filed under: uncultured bacterium
Lineage: Bacteria
Description: bacterial SSU rRNA
Rfam family: Bacterial small subunit ribosomal RNA
Source: RNAcentral